Long non-coding RNA from Armigeres subalbatus, 320 nucleotides. RefSeq lists it as uncharacterized. Lineage: Eukaryota; Metazoa; Arthropoda; Insecta; Diptera; Culicidae. The record is from RefSeq and is a predicted model, not a curated record. The transcript has 3 exons.
GCUUAUCCACAAACACAACCGACGAAGAGCUGCUAUAGGUAAGGUAAAAGUUGGCAACGUCAAUUAGCGAAGUAAGGAUAUAUAAACAAAAUCGAGAAGUCGCCUUAAAAUCUAAAAGCUAAACUAAAUUACAAUUGUUUCUAUUCUAAACUAAAAAUAAUUAUUAUAAAGUUGGGAAGUUCUUAUUACUACAGUGGUUUAUAUUAGCUAGAUUCCCAACAUAAAUUGUUUCGAGCCUAACCCUAAUUCCCAUCUAACGUAAAAAGCGCACAAUCACGAAAUCGACAGAAAGCUACGAACGACCACAUAAGGGACUAAAC